This 344-nucleotide RNase P RNA is filed under the name chicken gut metagenome. RNAcentral describes it as "Bacterial RNase P class A". It matches the Rfam family "Bacterial RNase P class A". Rfam says of the family: Ribonuclease P (RNase P) is a ubiquitous endoribonuclease, found in archaea, bacteria and eukarya as well as chloroplasts and mitochondria. Its best characterised activity is the generation of mature 5'-ends of tRNAs by cleaving the 5'-leader elements of precursor-tRNAs. Cellular RNase Ps are ribonucleoproteins. The record is from RNAcentral.
AGUCUGUCGAAUGGUCGCGCCUGAGGAUACCGAAAGGUUUCAGGUGAGGAAAGUCCGAGCUUCACAGGGCAGGAUGCCGGAUAACGUCCGGUGGAGGCGACUCCAAGGAAAGUGCAACAGAAAUAAACCGCCGGUUUCAGCCGGUAAGGGUGGAAAGGCGGGGUAAGAGCCCACCGCUUCUCUGGUAACAGGGAAGGCCAUGUAAACCCCAUCCGAAGCAAGACCGCAUAUAAGACGAUACGGCGGCCCGUCGUGUCUUAGGGUAGGUUGCUGGAGCCUUCUGGUGACAGAAGGUCGAGAUAGAUGACCAUUUUCAACAUAACUCGGCUUACAGGCAGACUCGU